GAUGAAGAACGUAGCGAAAUGCGAUAAGUAAUGUGAAUUGCAGAAUUCAGUGAAUCAUCGAAUCUUUGAACGCACAUUGCGCCCCUUGGUAUUCCGAGGGGCAUGCCUGUUCGAGCGUCAUUAUAACCCCUCAAGCUCAGCUUGGUGUUGGGGCCUGCUGCACUGGCAGCCCUUAAAAUCAGUGGCGGCGCCAUCUGGCUCUAAGCGUAGUAAUUCUUCUCGCUAUGGAGUCCUGGUGGAUGCUUGCCAUCAACCCCCAAUUUUUCUAUGGUUGACCUCGGAUCAGGUAGGGAUACCCGCUGAACUUAAGAAUAUCAAUAAGCGGAGGA
This 329-nucleotide unclassified non-coding RNA is filed under the name soil metagenome. Its description in RNAcentral is "partial contains 5.8S ribosomal RNA, internal transcribed spacer 2, and large subunit ribosomal RNA". The stretch from base 1 to 120 matches the Rfam family "5.8S ribosomal RNA", at positions 35 to 154 of the family's 154-position model. The record is from RNAcentral.